RNAcentral lists this non-coding RNA (693 nucleotides) under Trichonephila clavipes. The record is from RNAcentral. Lineage: Eukaryota; Metazoa; Arthropoda; Arachnida; Araneae; Nephilidae.
AGAGUUCAGUACAGCUCCAAAGUAUAUAUUUUUAAAUGAAGAUUCUAUUAAUUAAGAAAUUCAAAAUAUUUAUUAACAUUUUAUAUGAUAAAAGUUUUAAAAUUUAUAUUAACUAAUUAUUUAGUGCCAGCAGUUGCGGUUAUACUAUAAAUAUUAUAUACUAAAUUUUAUUAGCUAAUUUUCUAUUAAAUAUAUAAAUAUAUUAAUUAAAAUUUUAUAUUUGUAUUUUUAAAUUUGUUAAACCUAAUUUAAAUUUUUAAUUUAAAAAAGGAUUAGACACCCUUUUAUAUUUAAACAAAAAAAGUAGUAGAUUUAUAUUUCAAAACUUAUGUAGAUUGGCGGCAUUUUUCCAAUUUAGAGGAACCUGCUAAAUAAUCGAUAAUCCACGUUAAUUUUCACUUUUAUUAAUAUUUUAUAUACCUCCAUCUUAAGAAUUUAUUUUUACAAUUUUAUUCUAAAUAGAAAACUAAUAAGUUAGGUAAAGGUGUAGACUACAUAAAAGUUAUAGUGGGUUACUAUAAACAAAAUUUAAGGAAAAAAAAAAAAAUUUUUUUUAUAAAUAGGAUUUAUUAGUAAUGUUUAAAUAAUAUUUAAACUUGAAUUUGAUAACAAAUGUGCACAUAUCGCCCGUCACCCUUACCACAAGGUAAGGUAAGUCGUAACAUAGUUGAUGUUCUAGAAAGAGUAUCAGGA